UACGGAGGGGGCUAGCGUUGUUCGGAAUUACUGGGCGUAAAGCGCGCGUAGGCGGCUUUGUAAGUUAGAGGUGAAAGCCCGGAGCUCAACUCCGGAACUGCCUUUAAGACUGCAUCGCUAGAAUUGUGGAGAGGUAAGUGGAAUUCCGAGUGUAGAGGUGAAAUUCGUAGAUAUUCGGAAGAACACCAGUGGCGAAGGCGACUCACUGGCCCGAUACUGACGCUGAGGCGCGAAAGCGUGGGGAGCAAACAGG
This 253-nucleotide ribosomal RNA is filed under the name uncultured bacterium. RNAcentral's name for it is "partial 16S ribosomal RNA". It matches the Rfam family "Bacterial small subunit ribosomal RNA", at positions 524 to 776 of the family's 1533-position model. The record is from RNAcentral.